AGAGUUUGAUCCUGGCUCAGGAUGAACGCUAGCGGCAGGCUUAAUACAUGCAAGUCGAGGGACAGCACAGGUAGCAAUACUGGGUGGUAACCGGCAAACGGGUGCGGAACACGUACACAACCUUCCUUUAAGUGGGGGAUAGCCCAGAGAAAUUUGGAUUAAUACCCCGUAAUAUAGUUUGAUGGCAUCAUUGGACUAUUAUAGCUACGGCGCUUAAUGAUGGGUGUGCGUCUGAUUAGAUAGUUGGCGAGGUAACGGCUCACCAAGUCUACGAUCAGUAGCUGAUGUGAGAGCAUGAUCAGCCACACGGGCACUGAGACACGGGCCCGACUCCUACGGGAGGCAGCAGUAAGGAAUAUUGGUCAAUGGACGCAAGUCUGAACCAGCCAUGCCGCGUGAAGGAUUAAGGUCCUCUGGAUUGUAAACUUCUUUUAUUUGGGACGAAAAAGGGCCUUUCUAGGCCAACUGACGGUACCAGAUGAAUAAGCACCGGAUAACUCCGUGCCAGCAGCCGCGGUAAUACGGAGGGUGCAAGCGUUAUCCGGAUUCACUGGGUUUAAAGGGUGCGUAGGCGGGUAGGUAAGUCAGUGGUGAAAUCCUGGAGCUCAACUCCAGAACUGCCAUUGAUACUAUUUAUCUUGAAUAUUGUGGAGGUAAGCGGAAUAUGUCAUGUAGCGGUGAAAUGCUUAGAUAUGACAUAGAACACCUAUUGCGAAGGCAGCUUACUACGCAUAUAUUGACGCUGAGGC
RNAcentral lists this ribosomal RNA (749 nucleotides) under uncultured bacterium FukuS140. RNAcentral's name for it is "bacterial SSU rRNA". It matches the Rfam family "Bacterial small subunit ribosomal RNA", at positions 8 to 752 of the family's 1533-position model. Lineage: Bacteria; Pseudomonadati; Bacteroidota. The record is from RNAcentral.